GGUUGGUCCAAGUGCAGUGGUGUUUAUAACUAAUUGAUCACAACCAGUUACAGAUUCCUUUGUUCAUUCUCCACUCCUACUACUUCACUUGACCAGCCUUUA
RNAcentral lists this Y RNA (102 nucleotides) under Prolemur simus (greater bamboo lemur). Its description in RNAcentral is "Y RNA (ENSPSMG00000020938.1)". It matches the Rfam family "Y RNA". From Rfam's summary of the family: Y RNAs are components of the Ro ribonucleoprotein particle (Ro RNP), in association with Ro60 and La proteins. Lineage: Eukaryota; Metazoa; Chordata; Mammalia; Primates; Lemuridae. The record is from Rfam by way of RNAcentral.